Molecule: transfer RNA, 73 nt
Rfam family: tRNA
About the family: Transfer RNA (tRNA) molecules are approximately 80 nucleotides in length. Their secondary structure includes four short double-helical elements and three loops (D, anti-codon, and T loops).
Source: Rfam
GGGGCUAUAGCUCAGUUGGUAGAGCGCUUGCAUGGCAUGCAAGAGGUCAAGGGUUCAAUUCCCUUUAGCUCCA